Molecule: ribosomal RNA, 506 nt
Filed under: uncultured bacterium
Lineage: Bacteria
Description: bacterial SSU rRNA
Rfam family: Bacterial small subunit ribosomal RNA
Source: RNAcentral
GAUCAUGGCUCAGGAUGAACGCUAGCUACAGGCUUAACACAUGCAAGUCGAGGGGAAACGACAUCGGAAGCUUGCUUUUGAUGGGCGUCGACCGGCGCACGGGUGAGUAACGCGUAUCCAACCUGCCCACCACUUGGGGAUAACCUUGCGAAAGUAAGACUAAUACCCAAUGAUAUCCCACGAAGGCAUCCGAAUGAGAUUAAAGAUUUAUCGGUGAUGGAUGGGGAUGCGUCUGAUUAGCUUGUUGGCGGGGUAACGGCCCACCAAGGCAACGAUCAGUAGGGGGUUCUGAGAGGAAGGUCCCCCACAUUGGAACUGAGACACGGUCCAAACUCCUACGGGAGGCAGCAGCGAGGAAUAUUGGUCAAUGGGCGAGAGCCUGAACCAGCCAAGUAGCGUGCAGGAUGACGGCCCUAUGGGUUGUAAACUGCUUUUAUAAGGGAAUAAAGUGAGUCUCGUGAGACUUUUUGUAUGUACCUUAUGAAUAAGGACCGGCUAAUUCCGUG